UGUCUGACUGAAGGACCAGGUGCUGUCUGU
Molecule: non-coding RNA, 30 nt
Filed under: Homo sapiens (human)
Lineage: Eukaryota; Metazoa; Chordata; Mammalia; Primates; Hominidae
Source: RNAcentral